AGUUUAAUAAAAAAAUAAGUUUCAAAGACUGUAGUGGUUUCUACAAUCAGGAUGUUUUGUAGUAGAGAUCCGUAUUUACACAACUAAUCAAUUACUUGAUUUGUAGCAAACACUUGCGUAUAAAUUUUGCAAUGUCUUUCUCUCCGUAGGACCUUUUUGGUGCUGUUUAAUGAGAACACUGCAAAACAUGGGAAGUAAUUUAUUUUUUCAAAAUAUUCAUUCUGUAAUUGUUAGUAGAUGAUAUGUGAUCCUGUAUGUGAAAUCUAGGCUGAAGUCUCAUGAUCUAAUGAGAAUAGGAGCGUGAACAUUUGCUUUCAGUUAUUAAUUUCACCAUGAUUUCAAUUGUUCACAUGUUGUUACUAUUAAAGAUAUUAAGGUUAAAUAUAAAACAGUAACUUACUAAAUAAAAAAUGACUUUAGCUUGGUUUUCACAGGCAGGGUCACAGAAAUGACUAUCAUGAACUGAACAUGAACAUUUAUACCACUACAUGUAAUCCACAGCCUCAACAAACAGUCCAGAGUACAUUCUAGGCAGUCUGGAGGGCUAGCUUCCUGUUGUGACAUACCCGCAGGAGCAGAUCUGUAUAUCCAGAUUUUUAUCACAGACUGCAAACAUUCACAUGAGAUGAGUAUCCAGAACCCUUAUCUUUUCCUGAUAACAAGACUGAUGUGAGGGUGACGUUAAGAAGCUUGUGGGUGGCGGUGUUCCCUAUAUUCUGAAGGAGUGAGAACUUCAUGAACCACCUGCUGACAUUGGCAUUGCGAUUGGGGAUUAACGUUUUAAACCGUUUGACUUCAGUAACAUCAGUUUGUGCCCUGAUUCUGCGUAUGAUGUACAUUAUCAACCUGGCUUAUCUGAAACUCCUUCAAAUCACUUUUGAGGUGUUCCUGAAA
Molecule: long non-coding RNA, 894 nt
Organism: Triplophysa rosa
Lineage: Eukaryota; Metazoa; Chordata; Actinopteri; Cypriniformes; Nemacheilidae
Exons: 3
Source: RefSeq, a predicted model, not a curated record